This 341-nucleotide ribosomal RNA is filed under the name Gracilipsodes robustus. RNAcentral describes it as "partial 16S ribosomal RNA". The record is from RNAcentral. Lineage: Eukaryota; Metazoa; Arthropoda; Insecta; Trichoptera; Leptoceridae.
AUAAUAAUUAGUUUUUUAAUUGGAAACUAGAAUGAAUGAUUGGAUGAGAUAUAAGCUUUUUUUUUUAAAAUUUUAUAAAAUUUAAAUUUUUAGUUAAAAAGCUAAGAUUUAAUAAAAAGACGAGAAGACCCUAUAGAUUUUUAUUUAAUAAAAAUUAAAAAUAAUUUUUAUUAAAUUUUAUUGGGGGGAUAAAAAAAUUUAUAGAACUUUUUAAUUUAAUUGACAUUAAUUUUUGAAAUUUGAGCUUGUAAACUAUAAAAAUUAUUAUAAAUAAAGAUUAAAAUACCUUAGGGAUAACAGCGUAAUUUUAAUUUUAAGAUCUUAUUUAAAUUAAAGAUUGC